Molecule: non-coding RNA, 922 nt
Organism: Poecilia reticulata (guppy)
Lineage: Eukaryota; Metazoa; Chordata; Actinopteri; Cyprinodontiformes; Poeciliidae
Source: RefSeq, a predicted model, not a curated record
AGCUGCACAGAUGUGAGAGACUUCAUGGAUAGAACAGCAGGAUUCAACAAAAAGAGCCUCUGCUGUUACACCAUACCAUGCGGCGCUGACCCGAGACGUCUUGGAAGUCCGGAUGUGUAAUUCAUGAUGCCGCCUACCUACGACUGCGUGGCUCUGUGAGGAGUUUCUCUGCCGGGGGCUGCAGCAGGAAAUGCAUCCCGUUCUGAAGGAUGAUGAUUAUUGGCUGUGAAGUGAUCGGGAGUCGAGCAUGAGUGAUUUACAAAAAUGACAGAAGUUGCCUGAAGCACUGCAGACGUGCAUCCAGGUCAGAAACAUCGCUCAAAGACAGCGGGAAUAUCGGGAAUAUCACGGUGACAUCAUUCCUGUCAGCCACAGCAGCUGUCAUGAUUAUGGUCUUUGGUGGGACAGAGACCUACUUCUUUCAAGAGAGAGAGAAAGAAAAUCAAUUUGACUCAGCAGAGAGCUGCUGCAGAUUUACACGGAUCCACAACUGAACAGUGCGGCCCUGUGAAGAGUUUCUGCUGACUGGUUUUAGUGGCAGUGAGGAGGCUCCUGGCCUUUCUUCAGCAGCUGAAGACUCCCUCCUGUUCACCACAGCUGUCAUCCUGAAAGCACCGGAGGACCAGCGGAGGCAGAGGAACCCAAAGCCACUGGAUCUGUCUCACUGCUAGGCUCAGAGGUUAAUGGGAGGUCCACUUGUAGUAAAUAGAAUACAUUAUUUUCUUCAUUUUGAACAUGUUCCUUACAUCUUUAUUCAACAAAGUUCUAAUAUUAAAAGUGGGGCAUGAUAAUAAGAAAAUAAUUACUGCCUAAACAUUAAUAAAUGGUGGAUUUAAACUAAAUCAGCUGAAACUAGUCAGAAAUUGUUUCUACUAGCCUGAUUGAGUAAAACUAGACCCUAUUUUGAAAACUUUGCUUGCUA